GAAGACAUAGAGAAAGACAGUAAGAGAGAGAAAGGAGAGAAGAGAGAGGAGUGUUCUUCCUAGUCAGGUGCUCAGCCAGGACGGGAGGAGAAAGAGGAGGGACAGACAGACAGAGAGGCAAAGCUCCCCUCGGCCAGAUGCUCUCCCCACCCCCAGACCAAAGUGGGGUGGUGGAGAGAAGGUUGGAUUUGUAAGUCAGGAAUACUACAGUGCAAAUCUUCCUCUGACCCUCACUCGCUGCGUCACCCUGGGCAAGAUGCUGCACCUCGGAUAAUAACUGAGGCCCAGAAAGGAGAAAUAAUUUGUGCAAGUCCACACAAUAGCAGAGCCAGGAUCAAAACUAAGUGGCUUGGAUACUAAAGACAGUUUUCUCAGCUAGAACUUCCUCUUUCCAGCCGUAACAUCCUCUUCUAAUGCAUCUGUCUCCUAUGCCUGGAAUGCCCUUCCUUCUCAUCGCCACCUCUUGGAAUCCCAACCUCCUUGGAGACGCUGCUUGAACACCACUUUCCGCAUGAGGCCCAUCCUACUUCAACAGCUGAUAAUGCCUCCAAAAGAAAAACCAUUUCUUUUGCCUAUAACUAUGUAUGUGCCUGUAGUCUCCCCUUUUAGAACAUAAACUUUCAAAGGCCAGGGACAAUUUCAUUUCGGUCCUUAUAUUCCUCGUAUCUAGUACCGUGCCUGGAACACAGCGGACAUUUAAUCAAUUCUGUUAAUUGUCAGAUCGCCGACCAGAGAAGUUCCUCUUUUAGUCAGCAACAUGGAAUGUGCGACCUCAUCUAGAGAGGCUAGGCUUGGCAAUGUGGCCUACAAAGUCAGAGGAACAUUCUGCCAAUACACCCUCUCACCUAUGGGGGUCUUCCAAGGCCUUGCCAGGCUGGGUUCAACCCUGGAAGAAACAACAAUUUUUUAAAAAUCAACAUCAGAAUGGAAAAA
Molecule: long non-coding RNA, 933 nt
Organism: Phascolarctos cinereus (koala)
Lineage: Eukaryota; Metazoa; Chordata; Mammalia; Diprotodontia; Phascolarctidae
Source: RefSeq, a predicted model, not a curated record